UUGGAGGGCAAGUCUGGUGCCAGCAGCCGCGGUAAUUCCAGCUCCAAUAGCGUAUAUUAAAGUUGUUGCAGUUAAAAAGCUCGUAGUUGAAUUUCGGGAUCAAUAUAUCGGUCAUGCUUAGGUAUGUACUGGUAUUAUUGAUUUCUCCCUUCUGAAGAACCAUGAUGUCAUUUAUUUGAUGUCGUGGGGAAUCAGGACUGUUACUUUGAAAAAAUUAGAGUGUUUAAAGCAGGCUUUCGCUUGAAUACAUUAGCAUGGAAUAAUGAAAUAGGACGUUUGAUUCUAUUUUGUUGGUUUCUAGGAUCGACGUAAUGAUUAAUAGGGAUAGUUGGGGGCAUUAGUAUUCAAUUGUCAGAGGUGAAAUUCUUGGAUUUAUUGAAGACUAACUACUGCGAAAGCAUUUGCCAAGGAUGUUUUCAUUAAUCAAGAACGAAAGUUAGGGGAUCGAAGACGAUCAGAUACCGUCGUAGUCUUAACCAUAAAACUAUGCCGAGCUAGGGAUCGGAUGAUGUUAAUUUUUUAAUGACUCAUUCGGCGCCUUACGGGAAAC
RNAcentral lists this ribosomal RNA (550 nucleotides) under uncultured Glomus. Its description in RNAcentral is "SSU rRNA". It matches the Rfam family "Eukaryotic small subunit ribosomal RNA", at positions 548 to 1098 of the family's 1831-position model. The record is from RNAcentral. Lineage: Eukaryota; Fungi; Glomeromycota; Glomeromycetes; Glomerales; Glomeraceae.